CCUACGGGAGGCUGCAGUGAGGAAUAUUGGUCAAUGGACGAGAGUCUGAACCAGCCAAGUAGCGUGAAGGAUGACUGCCCUAUGGGUUGUAAACUUCUUUUAUAUGGGAAUAAAAUGUUCCACGUGUGGGAUUUUGUAUGUACCAUAUGAAUAAGGAUCGGCUAACUCCGUGCCAGCAGCCGCGGUAAUACGGAGGAUCCGAGCGUUAUCCGGAUUUAUUGGGUUUAAAGGGAGCGUAGGUGGAUGGUUAAGUCAGUUGUGAAAGUUUGCGGCUCAACCGUAAAAUUGCAGUUGAAACUGGCAGUCUUGAGUACAGUAGAGGUGGGCGGAAUGCGUGGUGUAGCGGUGAAAUGCAUAGAUAUCACGAAGAACUCCGAUUGCGAAGGCAGUUCACUGGACUGCAACUGACACUGAGGCUCGAAAGUGUGGGUAUCAAACAGGAUUAGAUACCCUGGUAGUC
RNAcentral lists this ribosomal RNA (460 nucleotides) under uncultured bacterium. RNAcentral's name for it is "partial 16S ribosomal RNA". It matches the Rfam family "Bacterial small subunit ribosomal RNA", at positions 338 to 795 of the family's 1533-position model. The record is from RNAcentral.